GAUGAACGCUAGCGGCAGGCUUAACACAUGCAAGUCGAGGGGUAUUGGUUUUCGGACCAAGAGACCGGCGCACGGGUGCGUAACGCGUAUGCAAUCUACCUUUUGCAGAGGGAUAGCCCAGAGAAAUUUGGAUUAAUACCUCAUAGUAUAGUACUUUGGCAUCAAGGAACUAUUAAAGUCACAACGGCAAAAGAAUGAGCAUGCGUCCCAUUAGCUAGUUGGUAAGGUAACGGCUUACCAAGGCAAUGAUGGGUAGGGGUCCUGAGAGGGAGAUCCCCCACACUGGUACUGAGACACGGACCAGACUCCGUACGGGGAGGCAGCAGUGAGGAAUAUGANAAUGGCGACAAGCCUGAUCCAGCCAUGCCGCGUGC
RNAcentral lists this ribosomal RNA (374 nucleotides) under uncultured bacterium. RNAcentral's name for it is "bacterial SSU rRNA". It matches the Rfam family "Bacterial small subunit ribosomal RNA", at positions 28 to 404 of the family's 1533-position model. The record is from RNAcentral.